Long non-coding RNA from Lathyrus oleraceus (garden pea), 533 nucleotides. RefSeq lists it as uncharacterized. The transcript is spliced from 3 exons. Lineage: Eukaryota; Viridiplantae; Streptophyta; Magnoliopsida; Fabales; Fabaceae. The record is from RefSeq and is a predicted model, not a curated record.
GAUGUUGUUGCAAAGCAAGAUGACAUAAGCUGCGACAACAAUAGUGGUUAAACUGUCAUGGAGUUCCUUGACCAACGGUUUGAGGUCUGUUAAAUGACCGGAUUGCGGAUUGGUUCAGGUCGGAGAGGCAGAUACCUUGGCGCCAGGAAGCUUCCCAAAUCAGGCCCGUGACAGAUAGGUAGAGCAUGCAAUGCUUAGAAGUCGUGAUGCAGUUGCAAAGAAUGCGUAAUAGGCCAAGGGUUUCAUUUGAAAACAUUGAGAAAUCCUUUCCAAAACCUCGUCUGCUGCCGCAUCAAAAUUCCAAUUGAGGGAGUUGGACUGAACUUACGCAUCAAGAUUCAAACAGAAGAGAAGUUCACUGAACCGCUGUUGACAGGAUUCGGCAAUUGCAGGGUUGGUGGAAGUGAACCUGACAUGGGCAAUGCUACUUGUGAAUGAAGGAAUCAUGAUGGAAGCAAGCUAACAUGCAUCUUGGAGGAUAAAUCAUGACUCAUGGGGAAUUCUUUUGGACAUUCCAUUUGCUUGUUUUUUUU